Molecule: ribosomal RNA, 506 nt
Filed under: uncultured bacterium
Lineage: Bacteria
Description: partial 16S ribosomal RNA
Rfam family: Bacterial small subunit ribosomal RNA
Source: RNAcentral
AUUGAACGCUAACGGCGUGCUUAACACAUGCAAGUCGAGCGGCAGCACAGUAGUAGCAAUACUAUGGGUGGCGAGCGGCGGACGGGUGAGUAAUACAUAGGAAUCUGCCUUAUAGUGGGGGAUAACCCGGGGAAACUCGGGCUAAUACCGCAUAAUCUCUACGGAGAAAAGUAUGGGACCUUCGGGCUAUAUGCUAAAAGAUGAGCCUAUGUUGGAUUAGCUAGUUGGUAGGGUAAAGGCCUACCAAGGCAACGAUCCAUAGCUGGUCUGAGAGGAUGAUCAGCCCAACUGGGACUGAGACACGGCCCAGACUCCUACGGGAGGCAGCAGUGGGGAAUAUUGGACAAUGGGCGCAAGCCUGAUCCAGCAACGCCGUGUGUGUGAAGAAGGCCUUAGGGUUGUAAAGCACUUUUAGUGGGGAAGAAAAGUUCAUGGCUAAUAUCCAUGAAUGCUGACGUUACCCACAGAAAAAGCACUGGCUAACUCUGUGCCAGCAGCAGCCGCCG